AUUGAACGCUGGCGGCAGGCCUAACACAUGCAAGUCGAGCGGAUGAAGGGAGCUUGCUCCUGGAUUCAGCGGCGGACGGGUGAGUAAUGCCUAGGAAUCUGCCUGGUAGUGGGGGAUAACGUCCGGAAACGGGCGCUAAUACCGCAUACGUCCUGAGGGAGAAAGUGGGGGAUCUUCGGACCUCACGGUAUCAGAUGAGCCUAGGUCGGAUUAGCUAGUUGGUGGGGUAAAGGCCUACCAAGGCGACGAUCCGUAACUGGUCUGAGAGGAUAAUCAGUCACACUGGAACUGAGACACGGUCCAGACUCCUACGGGAGGCAGCAGUGGGGAAUAUUGGACAAUGGGCGAAAGCCUGAUCCAGCCAUGCCGCGUGUGUGAAGAAGGUCUUCGGAUUGUAAAGCACUUUAAGUUGGGAGGAAGGGCAGUAAGUUAAUACCUUGCUGUUUUGACGUUACCAACAGAAUAAGCACCGGCUAACUUCGUG
This 484-nucleotide ribosomal RNA is filed under the name uncultured bacterium. RNAcentral's name for it is "partial 16S ribosomal RNA". It matches the Rfam family "Bacterial small subunit ribosomal RNA", at positions 30 to 507 of the family's 1533-position model. The record is from RNAcentral.